CCUACGGGAGGCAGCAGUGGGGAAUAUUGGACAAUGGGGGGAACCCUGAUCCAGCCAUGCCGCGUGUGUGAAGAAGGCCCUCGGGUUGUAAAGCACUUUCAGUGAGGAAGAACGCCUGGUGGUUAAUACCCAUCAGGAAAGACAUCACUCACAGAAGAAGCACCGGCUAACUCCGUGCCAGCAGCCGCGGUAAUACGGAGGGUGCGAGCGUUAAUCGGAAUUACUGGGCGUAAAGCGCGCGUAGGUGGCUUGAUAAGCCGGUUGUGAAAGCCCCGGGCUCAACCUGGGAACGGCAUCCGGAGCUGUCAAGCUUGAGGGCAGGAGAGGAAGGUAGAAUUCCCGGUGUAGCGGUGAAAUGCGUAGAGAUCGGGAGGAAUACCAGUGGCGAAGGCGGCCUUCUGGACUGACACUGACACUGAGGUGCGAAAGCGUGGGUAGCAAACAGGAUUAGAUACCCUAGUAGUC
Molecule: ribosomal RNA, 465 nt
Filed under: Vreelandella stevensii
Lineage: Bacteria; Pseudomonadati; Pseudomonadota; Gammaproteobacteria; Oceanospirillales; Halomonadaceae
Description: partial 16S ribosomal RNA
Rfam family: Bacterial small subunit ribosomal RNA
Source: RNAcentral